CGGCAACAGCUCAAAUUUAAAAUCUGGCCUCUUCGGGGCCCGAGUUGUAAUUUGUAGAGGAUGUUUUGGGUACCGCACCGGUUUAAAUUUCUUGGAACAGAAUGUCAGAGAGGGUGAGAAUCCCGUC
RNAcentral lists this ribosomal RNA (127 nucleotides) under Exophiala sp. RNAcentral describes it as "partial large subunit ribosomal RNA". It matches the Rfam family "Eukaryotic large subunit ribosomal RNA", at positions 99 to 225 of the family's 3401-position model. The record is from RNAcentral. Lineage: Eukaryota; Fungi; Ascomycota; Eurotiomycetes; Chaetothyriales; Herpotrichiellaceae.